GCGGGAGUAGUUCAGUUGGAAGAACGUCUGCUUCCCAAGCAGAAGGUCGGGAGUUCGAGACUCCUCUCCCGCU
RNAcentral lists this transfer RNA (73 nucleotides) under Dehalococcoidia bacterium. RNAcentral's name for it is "tRNA-Gly". It matches the Rfam family "tRNA". From Rfam's summary of the family: Transfer RNA (tRNA) molecules are approximately 80 nucleotides in length. Their secondary structure includes four short double-helical elements and three loops (D, anti-codon, and T loops). Lineage: Bacteria; Bacillati; Chloroflexota; Dehalococcoidia. The record is from RNAcentral.